RNAcentral lists this ribosomal RNA (468 nucleotides) under uncultured bacterium. RNAcentral's name for it is "partial 16S ribosomal RNA". It matches the Rfam family "Bacterial small subunit ribosomal RNA", at positions 28 to 507 of the family's 1533-position model. The record is from RNAcentral.
GACGAACGCUGGCGGCGUGCUUAACACAUGCAAGUCGAACGGAAAGGCCCUGCCUUUGUGGGGUGCCCGAGUGGCGAACGGGUGAGUAACCCGUGAGUAACCUGCCCUUGACUUUGGGAUAACUUCAGGAAACUGGGGCUAAUACCGGAUAGGAGCUCCCGCUGCAUGGUGGGGGUUGGAAAGUUUCGGCGGUUGGGGAUGGACUCGCGGCUUAUCAGCUUGUUGGUGGGGUAGUGGCUUACCAAGGCUUUGACGGGUAGCCGGCCUGAGAGGGUGACCGGCCACAUUGGGACUGAGAUACGGCCCAGACUCCUACGGGAGGCAGCAGUGGGGAAUAUUGCACAAUGGGCGGAAGCCUGAUGCAGCAACGCCGCGUGCGGGAUGACGGCCUUCGGGUUGUAAACCGCUUUCGCCUGUGACGAAGCGUGAGUGACGGUAAUGGGUAAAGAAGCACCGGCUAACUACGUG